This 120-nucleotide ribosomal RNA is filed under the name uncultured bacterium. RNAcentral's name for it is "partial 16S ribosomal RNA". It matches the Rfam family "Bacterial small subunit ribosomal RNA", at positions 796 to 916 of the family's 1533-position model. The record is from RNAcentral.
CACGCCCUAAACGAUGUCAACUGGUUGUUGGGAAGGUUCCUUCUCAGUAACGUAGCUAACGCGUGAAGUUGACCGCCUGGGGAGUACGGCCGCAAGGUUGAAACUCAAAGGAAUUGACGG